GGCGAACGCUGGCGGCGUGCUUAACACAUGCAAGUCGAACGGAAAGGCCCCUUUGGGGGUACUCGAGUGGCGAACGGGUGAGUAACACGUGAGUAACCUGCCCUUGACUUCGGGAUAACUUCAGGAAACUGGGGCUAAUACCGGAUAGGAAUCCUUGCUGAAAGGUGGGGGUUGGAAAGCUUCGGCGGUUUUGGAUGGACCCGCGGCGUAUCAGCUUGUUGGUGGGGUAGUGGCUUACCAAGGCGUUGACGGGUAGCUGGCCGGAGAGGGCGACCGGCCACAUUGAGACUGAGAGACGGCCCAGACGCCUACGGGAGGCAGAAGGGGGGAAUAUUGAACAAGGGGCGGAAGCCGGAUGCAGCAGCGCCGCGUGCGGGAUGACGGCCUUCGGGUUGUGAACCGCUUUCAGCAGGGGCGAAGCUUGUGGUGACGGUACCUGCAGAAGAAGCACCGGCUAACUACGUG
This 465-nucleotide ribosomal RNA is filed under the name uncultured bacterium. Its description in RNAcentral is "partial 16S ribosomal RNA". It matches the Rfam family "Bacterial small subunit ribosomal RNA", at positions 28 to 507 of the family's 1533-position model. The record is from RNAcentral.